GGGUUGUGAGGUUAAGCGACUAAGCGUACACGGUGGAUGCCCUGGCAGUCAGAGGCGAUGAAGGGCGUGCUAAUCUGCGAUAAGCGCCGGUAAGGUGAUAUGAACCGUUAUAACCGGCGAUACCCGAAUGGGGAAACCCAGUGUGAUUCGUCACACUAUCAUUAACUGAAUCCAUAGGUUAAUGAGGCGAACCGGGGGAACUGAAACAUCUAAGUACCCCGAGGAAAAGAAAUCAACCGAGAUUCCCCCAGUAGCGGCGAGCGAACGGGGAGGAGCCCAGAGCCUGAAUCAGCAUGUGUGUUAGUGGAAGCGUCUGGAAAGGCGCGCGAUACAGGGUGACAGCCCCGUACACAAAAGCGCAUAUGCUGUGAGCUCGAUGAGUAGGGCGGGACACGUGGUAUCCUGUCUGAAUAUGGGGGGACCAUCCUCCAAGGCUAAAUACUCCUGACUGACCGAUAGUGAACCAGUACCGUGAGGGAAAGGCGAAAAGAACCCCGGCGAGGGGAGUGAAAAAGAACCUGAAACCGUGUACGUACAAGCAGUGGGAGCCCCACCACUAAGCCAGUGGUGAACUCCACAUACGCAUCCUUUGCUGAGGAGACGGUUAACGGAGCGAAAGCGACGUUCAACCUCAAAAGAAGCAGAGGGGGCUUAGUGGUGGGGUGACUGCGUACCUUUUGUAUAAUGGGUCAGCGACUUAUAUUCUGUAGCAAGGUUAACUGUAUAGGGGAGCCGGAGGGAAACCGAGUCUUAACCGGGCGUUAAGUUGCAGGGUAUAGACCCGAAACCCGGUGAUCUAGCCAUGGGCAGGUUGAAGGUUGGGUAACACUAACUGGAGGACCGAACCGACUAAUGUUGAAAAAUUAGCGGAUGACCUGUGGCUGGGGGUGAAAGGCCAAUCAAACCGGGAGAUAGCUGGUUCUCCCCGAAAGCUAUUUAGGUAGCGCCUCGUGAAUUCAUCUCCGGGGGUAGAGCACUGUUUCGGCUAGGGGGCCAUCCCGGCUUACCAACCCGAUGCAAACUGCGAAUACCGGAGAAUGUUAUCACGGGAGACACACGGCGGGUGCUAAUGUCCGUCGUGAAGAGGGAAACAACCCAGACCGCCAGCUAAGGUCCCAAAGUCAUGGUUAAGUGGGAAACGAUGUGGGAAGGCCCAGACAGCCAGGAUGUUGGCUUAGAAGCAGCCAUCAUUUAAAGAAAGCGUAAUAGCUCACUGGUCGAGUCGGCCUGCGCGGAAGAUGUAACGGGGCUAAACCAUGCACCGAAGCUGCGGCAGCGACACCGUGUGUUGUUGGGUAGGGGAGCGUUCUGUAAGCCUGUGAAGGUGUGCUGUGAGGCAUGCUGGAGGUAUCAGAAGUGCGAAUGCUGACAUAAGUAACGAUAAAGCGGGUGAAAAGCCCGCUCGCCGGAAGACCAAGGGUUCCUGUCCAACGUUAAUCGGGGCAGGGUGAGUCGACCCCUAAGGCGAGGCCGAAAGGCGUAGUCGAUGGGAAACGGGUUAAUAUUCCCGUACUUGGUGUUACUGCGAAGGGGGGACGGAGAAGGCUAUGUUGGCCGGGCGACGGUUGUCCCGGUUUAAGCGUGUAGGUAUGUGUUCCAGGUAAAUCCGGUUCACUUUA
RNAcentral lists this ribosomal RNA (1619 nucleotides) under Salmonella enterica subsp. enterica serovar Typhi. RNAcentral describes it as "partial 23S ribosomal RNA". It matches the Rfam family "Bacterial large subunit ribosomal RNA", at positions 1 to 1554 of the family's 2925-position model. Lineage: Bacteria; Pseudomonadati; Pseudomonadota; Gammaproteobacteria; Enterobacterales; Enterobacteriaceae. The record is from RNAcentral.